RNAcentral lists this transfer RNA (72 nucleotides) under Camelus bactrianus (Bactrian camel). It matches the Rfam family "tRNA". Rfam says of the family: Transfer RNA (tRNA) molecules are approximately 80 nucleotides in length. Their secondary structure includes four short double-helical elements and three loops (D, anti-codon, and T loops). Further hydrogen bonds mediate the characteristic L-shaped molecular structure. tRNAs have two regions of fundamental functional importance: the anti-codon, which is responsible for specific mRNA codon recognition, and the 3' end, to which the tRNAs corresponding amino acid is attached (by aminoacyl-tRNA synthetases). tRNAs cope with the degeneracy of the genetic code in two manners: having more than one tRNA (with a specific anti-codon) for a particular amino acid; and 'wobble' base-pairing, i.e. permitting non-standard base-pairing at the 3rd anti-codon position. The record is from Rfam by way of RNAcentral. RNAcentral also lists the same sequence under 2 other names. Lineage: Eukaryota; Metazoa; Chordata; Mammalia; Artiodactyla; Camelidae.
GAGGGUAUGGCUUAGUGGUAGAAUGUGUGCUUAGCAUGCACCAGGUCCUGGGUUCAAUCCCCAGUACUGCCA